Molecule: transfer RNA, 72 nt
Filed under: Globisporangium irregulare DAOM BR486
Lineage: Eukaryota; Oomycota; Peronosporomycetes; Pythiales; Pythiaceae
Description: tRNA-Met for anticodon CAU
Rfam family: tRNA
About the family: Transfer RNA (tRNA) molecules are approximately 80 nucleotides in length.
Source: RNAcentral
GCUGUUUUAGCUCAGUGGUAGAGUGUCUGAUCCAUGGUCAGGUGGUCGGCGGUUCGAUUCCACCAAACAGCA